RNAcentral lists this ribosomal RNA (466 nucleotides) under uncultured bacterium. Its description in RNAcentral is "bacterial SSU rRNA". It matches the Rfam family "Bacterial small subunit ribosomal RNA", at positions 328 to 792 of the family's 1533-position model. The record is from RNAcentral.
UUUCCAGACUCCUACGGGAGGCAGCAGUGAGGAAUAUUGGUCAAUGGACGAGAGUCUGAACCAGCCAAGUAGCGUGAAGGAUGACUGCCCUAUGGGUUGUAAACUUCUUUUAUAAAGGAAUAAAACGAGGCACGUGUGCCUUUUUGCAUGUACUUUAUGAAUAAGGAUCGGCUAACUCCGUGCCAGCAGCCGCGGUAAUACGGAGGAUCCGAGCGUUAUCCGGAUUUAUUGGGUUUAAAGGGUGCGCAGGCGGAUUUUUAAGUCAGCGGUCAAAUCGUGGGGCUCAACCCCAUCCAGCCGUUGAAACUGGGGAUCUAGAGUGUGCGAGAGGUAUGCGGAAUGCGUGGUGUAGCGGUGAAAUGCAUAGAUAUCACGCAGAACCCCGAUUGCGGAGGCAGCAUACCGGUGCACAACUGACGCUCAGGCACGAAAGCGUGGGUAUCGAACAGGAUUAGAUACCCCUGUA